This 471-nucleotide ribosomal RNA is filed under the name Streptococcus sp. oral taxon C56. RNAcentral describes it as "bacterial SSU rRNA". It matches the Rfam family "Bacterial small subunit ribosomal RNA", at positions 28 to 485 of the family's 1533-position model. The record is from RNAcentral. Lineage: Bacteria; Bacillati; Bacillota; Bacilli; Lactobacillales; Streptococcaceae.
GACGAACGCUGGCGGCGUGCCUAAUACAUGCAAGUAGAACGCUGAAGGAGGAGCUUGCUCUUCUGGAUGAGUUGCGAACGGGUGAGUGACGCGUAGGUAACCUGCCUGGUAGUGGGGGAUAACUAUUGGAAACGAUAGCUAAUACCGCAUAAUAACAGUUGUUGCAUGACAACUGUUUGAAAGGUGCAAUUGCAUCACUACCAGAUGGACCUGCGUUGUAUUAGCUAGUUGGUGGGGUAACGGCUCACCAAGGCGACGAUACAUAGCCGACCUGAGAGGGUGAUCGGCCACACUGGGACUGAGACACGGCCCAGACUCCUACGGGAGGCAGCAGUAGGGAAUCUUCGGCAAUGGACGAAAGUCUGACCGAGCAACGCCGCGUGAGUGAAGAAGGUUUUCGGAUCGUAAAGCUCUGUUGUAAGAGAAGAACGAGUGUGAGAGUGGAAAGUUCACACUGGGACGGAUCUACCA